Molecule: microRNA, 23 nt
Filed under: Monodelphis domestica (gray short-tailed opossum)
Lineage: Eukaryota; Metazoa; Chordata; Mammalia; Didelphimorphia; Didelphidae
Description: mdo-miR-7262k-5p
Source: miRBase by way of RNAcentral
AGUCUUAGUGCAAUUUUAAGCUA